AGCGGUAACAGCUCAAAUUUGAAAUCUGGCCCUUUUAGGGUCCGAGUUGUAAUUUGUAGAAGAUGCUUUGGGUGUGGCUCCGGUCUAAGUUCCUUGGAACAGGACGUCAUAGAGGGUGAGAAUCCCGUAUGUGACUGGCGGCCUUCGCCCGUGUAAAGCUCUUUCGACGAGUCGAGUUGUUUGGGAAUGCAGCUCUAAAUGGGAGGUAUAUUUCUUCUAAAGCUAAAUACUGGCCAGAGACCGAUAGCGCACAAGUAGAGUGAUCGAAAGAUGAAAAGCACUUUGGAAAGAGAGUUAAACAGUACGUGAAAUUGUUGAAAGGGAAGCGCUUGCAACCAGACUUGCGUGCCGUCGAUCAUCGUGGGUUCUCCCGCGUGCACUCGGCGGCGUUCAGGCCAGCAUCGGUUCCGGUGGUUGGAUAAAGGCCUUGGGAAUGUGGCUCCUCUCGGGGAGUGUUAUAGCCCUCGGUGCAAUGCAGCCUACUGGGACCGAGGACCGCGCUUCGGCUAGGAUGCUGGCGUAAUGGUUGUAAGCGACCCGUCUUGAAACACGGACCAAGGAGUCUAACAUCUAUGCGAGUGUUAGGGUGUUAAACCCUUCCGCGAAAUUAACGUGAACGGAGGUACGAACCCUUUAGGGCGCAGUAUCGACCGGUCCUGAUGUCUUCGGAUGGAUCUGAGUAAGAGCAUAGCUGUUGGGACCCGAAAGAUGGUGAACUAUGCCUGAAUAGGGUGAAGCCAGAGGAAACUCUGGUGGAGGCUCGCAGCGGUUCUGACGUGCAAAUCGAUCGUCAAAUUAGGGCAUAGGGGCGAAAGACUAAUCGAACCAUC
This 830-nucleotide ribosomal RNA is filed under the name Dicephalospora rufocornea. RNAcentral's name for it is "partial large subunit ribosomal RNA". It matches the Rfam family "Eukaryotic large subunit ribosomal RNA", at positions 97 to 944 of the family's 3401-position model. Lineage: Eukaryota; Fungi; Ascomycota; Leotiomycetes; Helotiales; Helotiaceae. The record is from RNAcentral.